CGAAGUAGGCAGGAUAUGGAUUGAAGGGAUUCUUUAUGCCAGAGAUGGCCAGGUAAACAUUUUGUGUGUUUGCCACGGCCUUUUACAGUCCCCGGCUGGAUUUUUUAAAGCAUGCCGAUGGAAACAAAGUGACGAAUCCCUUGCAGCAUAUAAUUGUCUGCUCUUCUUCCGAUUAGAUCAAUGGCAUUGGCUCUUUCGCCUUGGAAUGUUAACAUACAGUUAACUAAUUUGUAAACACCCUAAUUUGAGAAAUUAGCUCUCAUUUUAUGGUUAUUUUGUAUAUUAUCUUAUGUAGUUCUCUCCGAUUAAUUUUGGAUGUUUGGAUGGCUUUAAGGUGAUGUCAAAGCUUUUGUAUUUGAACAUAUACAUAAACUGUCGGUUAGUAUAGGUACCAUAAAGCACACUUGUUGGUUUUGCUCCACAUCAAGCCUUUGUCAUUGGUUGUCCUUGAACUACACCGAGAUUUAGCAUAGAGAUUAAUUAUAAUGUAAGACUACAAAGGUAUCAUCUAAAAAUAUUCUGUAAUCGUAAAGAUCACCAUAAAAUUAUUGCUACUAUGUCAUUGAGUGUGUAAUAUUUGUUCCCUAAAAAAAUGAAGAACAAUUUGUUCCCUAAAUUAUUACCAACAUCACGUGGGCGCUUGAGCGGACAUGAAAUUUAGUACGUGUGUCGUAAAUUGUUUCAGUUAUAUUUUACUUUACGUAACUACCUUCUCUGUAUGUUCACAUGAAACAAGUCAAAGAUAUUUGAAUUUCGUAACUACUAUUUAUGUGUGUUUUUUCUACCAUUUCACGUGAAAUUGGUGAACGUUUUGUCUAUGGUUAAACCAAUAUAACCACCAUAAUAGGAACUGACAAGAAAAUUAAUAUUGAAUUUGACCUAUUUUAUCCCUUUUUACAAUAGACAACCUUUAAUAAAAUCAGGUUAAAUAGUAACUUCCUAUUUAAAAUAACAAAUACCACGCAUGUCUUCAAUUUUUAAAGAGUAAAAUAUAGAAUUGGUACCUUGAACUUUCACCUAAGUUUAGAUUUUAACUCUUAUCUCUUUAUUGGUUUUAUCGCUUAACUUUGUUUUCAUUAAAUAUGUCUAUGUAUUAGUUAUUUAAAAAAAAAUUUGAAAUAAUCGGUCAUGUAAAACAACAUAACAAAAAAUACAUGUAUUAUAAGUUGUUUCAAUGAGCUUUUGAUUUUUAUAAAUAUUAUUGUAACGACUCUGUAAUUUCAUGCAUGCUUUCAAAUGUUCACAUGAAACCAGUAAAUUAUUUGUCUAUAGUUAAACAGAGGGUGAUUUAUUAGCACCCUAAUUUUGGUUAAGAGCACUCCCAUGUUAAAUUAUUUGCUAACUUCCAAAAUUGCUCAAAAAUUUUAAGCAUAAAAACAAUAUUGCUUCUGGUUGGUUGGUUCUUUAUUCAAGUCUCUGCCGGCAAAGGGUUUUCAAUUCUUUUGUCUAAGAGGUCAGUUCAUUAGCUCUUCAGCGAAGUGAGGUAUUUUAUGAUUGAUUACUCCCAAGUGCACUUCAUAGUUCGGCACUCAAACGCCCGUACCACGUGCACGAUAAAGACACUCAUCUUUUUCAAAUCGGUGCACUUAUAUUCUAACAAAUAUAGUUAAAGUUGCUGAACCUGAUGCAGAAGAUCCUGAAAUUCGCAUUGAAUAUAGCAACCUUGUCUGAACUUCAUAGUCGCUAAGUGCAAAAGUCAAUAGCGCAUACGAUACCACCACCACCACAUCUAUUCUACUCGCCAAACUUAGCUCGCUCGUGAGUUGGGCAUUAACAAGAAGGACGUAGUUACCUCAGUAGUUACUCGGCUUAUGCAUAUGCACCACGUAGGUCUUGUCAUUUUUAGGACAAACACAAAUCAAUUUGUUUCAUCUGUCUACUUUCCAUCCAUUUUAGCGUUAAAAGUGUAAUUCUUCAUUUUGGUGUUGAAGUUAAAAAUCAAUCAAUCUUGUCCUAAAAAUUGGUUAACACAAAUUAAUUUGGUCCAUCCGUCUACUUUUCGUCUAUUUUAGCGUUAAAAGUGGUGACAUGAGAUUGAUUGAAACAAAUCAAUUUGGUCAAUCCGUAUAUUUUUCAUCCAUUCUACUGUUAAAAGUGGUCACGUCGACCACAUGACCUUUUUUUAGGGGUAAAACUUAAAAAAAACAAAAACAAAAACAAAAAAAAACAAAACAAAAGCCAAUGAAAGAAAUCUUCACCCUGCCCAACCCAGUCACCGUCAGCCGUCCUCCCUCCGAUAGUCCAUCAUUUUAUUUUGUCUAUUUGCCUUUACCUUUCUUGAUCCUACACUAAAUCAAGAUCUCCUGCACCAAAUCAACGAGAAUUGAAGUUGAAGAGAAUGGGUAUAAAGAUCUUCGCCCCUACAACCACGAUGACCCUAAUCUUCACUGUGUUUCUCCUCAUACACUGAUUUUACCUCCUAAACGUCGUCCUAACAAUUUCCACAUUGAAUGCUUUUUUUCAGCUUUUAAGUUUUCUUUUUUCUUUUUUGCCCUUCAAUUUGUCAAGGUAUUAUGUCUGAAUCGUUGUGGAUUUAUAUUUGUGGUGAUCCUAAAAAUAAUUUGUUUCCCCUUAACCAGUUGGUGCAAGAAAGAGAGAUGGAUUUUUCCUACGUAAAGAUGGAGGUAGGGCUGGGCAAAUGGUCCUGGACCCACGGGUCAGGGCGGGUAAUUACAAUUUGGGACAGGUACAGGGUGGGUACUUAUAUUAUAAAUUCAAAACGGGGCAGGGCGGGACAGGUUUGUUUAAUUAGUGGGCCGGGGCAGGGACAAAUUUCAGAGAAAAACGAGCCCCCAGGUCGAACAUUUUCCACCGUUCAUUAUAGGGAGAUUAAAUCUCCAUCAUUUAUUUCUUAGGUUAUGUAGAAUUCUCCAGAGUCCUAAAUCCUGACUUCGAUCACAACGGCUUCCAAAUCCUGACUCCUCUCGACCUCAAUCUCGAAUUCUCCCAGCUCCGUCCGUUCAUUAACUGGUCGGCGUUCUUCUUCGUUUUAGCAACCAUUUCCAGCCUCCAGAUUUCGAUGUGAGCUACGCUGUCUAGCCAUAGUGAGCAACACUGUUAAGUGUUUGAUUGCGGUAGGUGGAGAGGAAGUUGAGCAUAAGAGACAUGAGUUUGGCCUUGGAAAGGAUCUUGAAGAUGGCGUUAAAGGUGGCGCGGGUGUGGUGGAAGCCAGGCUGGCGGCCGGCCCAAUCGAAGAACUUGAGGCAUGAGAGGAUAUAAUGGUUGUUGUUGCCGUAACGGAGGACCUUGAGGACGAAGGCCUCCGUGAGGUUGAGACUGAGAUGGGAGAGAGCCAAGUUGACGGAGGAGUAAAGGAUAUUAUACUGCAAAGGGAUGUCGCUAUCACUGUGUUGAGGCAGCGGUCGGUGGUGGUGGCGGCGUCGCUGUCGGUAGAGGAUUUGAGGAUGAGGAAGAUGCGGUCAAAUAAGGCGUCGUUGCGGGUUUGGAACCAUUCAUUGAAAGAGAGGACCACGUCCCUCGCCAGAGUCAUGCGAACCAUGGUUGAGAAAUUGCAGAUUCAAAACCAUGGACGAACAAAUUAAAACUUUUUCAAUAGAUGGCAACUAGAAAUGCAUCAUCACCUCUGAUUUGGAGUGCUAAUCCGCCACCGACGAGUAUGCAGCAUUUGAAGGUUACCUUGCUACCAUAAGACCCGUGGGGACCUGUAGAAACCGUCCGUUUCAAAAGGGCCGGGUUAGGUUCGGUUCUCAUUUUGAAAAAUAAAAAACCUGUCCCGCCUCGCUCUACCCCGUGUUAUUUACAAACGGGGUUCAAUCCGGUUCCUUCAAUUUUGGACCAGGCCCGGCGCGUGCCCACCUCUAGGUGGAGGGUCGAAUUUCAACAAAACAAAAGGUUGGGGCGGAUGACAAAAUAAUAAAGUGGUCAAAUGAUAAGUGGGGUGCUGUGCUUUGACGUUUUAUUCCUAAAAAAUGGUCACAUGGGCCUGCAUGACCACUUUUAACGCAAAAAUGGAUGAAAACUACACAGAAGGAUCAAAUUAAUUUGCUGCAACCAAUUUUAGGGACGAGAUUGAUUGAUUGAUUUUAACUUCAAGGACCCAAAAUAAGGAGUUAUACCAAUCUCAUGGACCAUUUUGAUGAAACCCCUUAAAAAAUAUAAAGAAAUCUUUUCUUCUAGCUAGAUGAUCUUAUCACAUGAACUGAUAAGGUAAUUAAUACGUGGUCAUACAUUGUGUCGAUUAGCUUUUACUUUUAUGUAACCAUCGUCUGCCUUCUUUGUAUAUUCACGUGAAACAAGUGAACACCCAGCAUAGGUUUCAUCGUCCAACUCUCUAUAAGUACCUCCCAACUUUCUUUAUGAAUACAAAAAGUGAUAGAUUUAUUCUUCACAAUUAAUUUUUUUCAUUUGAUCAUGGUUACUAACUUAGAAGCUGAGGGUGGAUUUUUAUAUUUUAGAGGGAGGAGGAAGGGGAGAAAAAGAGAGAGGGAAGUGAAUAGUGCAAUUGAGAUUGAGAGAGACUUGAAAAAAUUAUAUGGAACUUAUUAUUACUUUACUAUAGAAAUGAGUGGCAUGGGAGAAAAUGGACCGAGGAGACGGUGUAAAUGGAAGAAGGUAUAUAUAUAUAUAUAUAUAUAUAUUCAUUACUUGUUUGUUGCUUAAUUUAUUUUUCUUUUCAAUUUUCAUUUAAUUAUCAAAUGAUUAAUUUCUCUUAACAUCUUAUUGAUUGAAUGUAUUGUUUUCAAAAUUCAAUCUCUUCCUUGUCUGUCUCAAAUUCUUUUCCUACUCAUCCUUUGUUCAUAGAAUGUCGGUCUUCUGGUUAUUUUGACCCUUUAGGGUGUUUUGAAUGUUGUAGAAGAAGAUUAGUAUAAAGUAUUUAACUUGCUUUCACGAUAUUUAAAUUUCUUCAAAGAUUUUGACUUGUGAAAAUUCUUUGCAGGAGAAGAAAAUGUUGAGACACUGCCUUCUCAGAUAAGGACAUCAAAACAUGUCUUCCCUUUGGAGCAGGCAGGAUUUAGAUUGAAGGGAUUCUUUAUGCUAGAGAUGGCGAGGUAAACAUUUUGUGUGUUUGCUAUGGCCUUUUACACUCUCCGGCUGGAUUUUUUUGAGCAUGCCGAUGCAAACAAUGUGGCGAAUCCCUUGCAGCACAUAAUUGUCUGCUCUUCUUCCGAUUAGGUCAAUGGCAUUGGCUCCGUUGCCUUGGAAUGUUAAUAUACGGUUAACUAAUAUGUAAACACCCUAAUUGGAGCAAUUAGUUCUCAUUUUAUGGGUUAUUUUGUAUAUUAUCUUAUAUAUAGUCCUCUCCAAUUUAACUGCGGAUGUUUGGAUGGCUUUAAGGUGAUGUCAAAGCUUAUGUAUUUG
Molecule: long non-coding RNA, 5319 nt
Filed under: Malus domestica (apple)
Lineage: Eukaryota; Viridiplantae; Streptophyta; Magnoliopsida; Rosales; Rosaceae
Description: long non-coding RNA (MDOM_LNC009011)
Source: RNAcentral